Molecule: long non-coding RNA, 312 nt
Filed under: Brassica napus (rape)
Lineage: Eukaryota; Viridiplantae; Streptophyta; Magnoliopsida; Brassicales; Brassicaceae
Description: long non-coding RNA (BNAP_LNC018365)
Source: RNAcentral
UAACAACGAUUUUAGGUUAUAGUCUGCAUUAUCAUUAGGAAAUAAUAGUUUCCGAAUAUAUGUAUGGUAGAAACGAUUUUUAUAUAUUAAAGAUGUUUGUUAUUAUGCUUAGAUGGCGUAAAUUGGUUCAGUUAUUACAGAAUUUAUCGAAUGCAAGAAAUCAAUUUUAAUAUAGUAAAAAAGAACUCUAAUCACUUACCAUAAAAAAAGAAAAAAGAAUUCUCAUCACGAUUUUUUAAAAUUAUAAUCUGAAUUGAAAACCAAAUUUGAACCAAUCCAAAUCUGAAUAUAAACCAAUCAGUUAUCAAUAAU